Molecule: long non-coding RNA, 2167 nt
Organism: Drosophila erecta
Lineage: Eukaryota; Metazoa; Arthropoda; Insecta; Diptera; Drosophilidae
Exons: 3
Source: RefSeq, a predicted model, not a curated record
GAAAGGUUUUCGUUAUUUUCACUUGGAUGCCAAGGACAAAUCUGCUUUAUUAAGUGCACGAAAUACGAGUUGGUAUAUUGUUAGACAAACAAAUGUAGAGUUCAAACAUUGGCCAUUAUUUUUCUCAGUAUUUCGUCUCCGCAAAUCGAACAGCCGAUUUGAUUGUCACAUUUUUGGAAAAGGGGAAAGCGGCGGAGGUGUCACGAUGUCAUCUGUAUAUGGGAGUCGGUGAUUGGUACGAGUACGGGUUUGCUACUUAGAACCCGACCACGGAGAUCCAACACUUGGUCAAGCCAAGCGAAUUGGUGGGUAUUAGAGGAUUAGAGGAGGGUCGCCUGGGCGUUGCAGUGACUAAUGGUUUAGCAACGGGCAAAAUAUCAGAGAGCCAUGGCUUACCUCAGCAACUGACUCACCCCACCGAUCGGGGCAGGCUAAUUUUUGCAGCAAUGUGGUGACAACGGAACGUCUGUGUUUGGUCUUUCAACAGAAAAAUGCGGCACAUAAACAAAAUCACAAUCAAAAGCGCUGCAGAAGCAAGAGCUGAAUCUGACACGCCGACCAGAUUCUCGGACGCCCCAGCACUGAAUCCACUGCUCUUUCGCAUGUCAGUUGAGUUUGAAACACACUCGUACCACACCAGACACCAAGUGGGCCCAAAUCAGAAGAACGGAAGGGGGAGCCCCCAUAGCCAAGCAAUUUGUGUCGUUUUUGCCGUCUCAUUUGGCACACGGCCAGUGCAUUGGGCCAAAAUGCAAUCGAGUGCACGCCCGUCUGCCAGCCUGCGAUUCCGAGCGACUCCGCGUGUCCGGCCCCCUCGCAACUAUAAAUUACAUUCCAUUAAAAAAUCAUGCCGCGGCGCACAAAUCAACAUCAACUCAAUGAACAUAAAUUGCCAAGUCGAGCUGCUGGAGCGCGGGGUACGUAAAAAAUGGGGGUGGUUGACAAUCGCUGGGCGGCGCUAACGGAUCGAUCGACCUUCACAUUGGCCGCCAUGGCGACAACGCACAUGGCCCAAAAUGCACACAAACAGGGCCAAAAAGAAAGAGGGGAAUGGCCAAAUGACAGGACUUUGUACUGAACGGCCAAGCGGUCUACAGUGGGCAUACGAAGUGCCAGAUCGGGUGAAUUAGGUAUGAGAUUAUAUAAGAGAAUUUAAAAUUUAAAAUGUAAGUUGACGCUGUGUAAAAUAAAGAAUAUAUUUUCAAAGCCAUUUAAUGAAAUAACGCUUUUGAUUAGUACACUAAAGCAUCUAUACAUUUACAAAUAUUUUUAAAAUGAAAGCAAUAUAUAAGGUAGUUUACUUUUUGUCGGUGUAAGAUUUCACCUAUUUUAAAUUAUCAGCCUGGUCGAUUCAUCCAUAAGUCCCGCAUUGGUCAUAAAUCUCGCAGAUAGUGCUGCUAUCUUAAUUGGUCCUGUCCACGGUGCGGCUAACGUAACGCAUUUGGGAGCUGUCCGACGUGGAUUCCGGUGCCUCCGAGGUUUCCAUUUGAUGGCCACUGGCCUUCCAGUGGAUCCAGAGUUCGUUUUGAGCUAUUUCUGCUGCGUGGGCGUUUGUGACACGCAGCUAGUUUUGUUAUUGUGCCCCCGAGUGAUGUUUGCAGCUAAUUAGAAACGCCCCAUACGCCCUCACAUGUGCCCAGCAAAAGCAAUCUGCAAUUACAGCUCUUGGGAAGGAGAGGAUGUCUCAGGACAUGUGCGAAAUAAGUGCCAAAUGAUUUGGCUUUCGGAGCGGGCAUGUAAUUAAUGGAGCGUGGCUUGAAAUAUGCAAAGCUCAAUCAACUGCAUUACGCAGACCUGGAAUCCCGCUAGCCCGCCCAGAUCUUUUGCCCUCCUCCCACGGUGAGUCCAUUUCCGCCCGAACACGUUGUGUGCAACCCCAUCCACUUCCUCCUCGGCGCCACAUGACGUGCCGUUGAUAUUUAUGCCGUCGCCAUUGUCGUCUCAGUUCUCGGAACUUCAUUCAGCAUCCCCUCCAGCUCGGAAUUCAGGACGCAGGACUCGCUUCUCCUUUGAGCGUAAUCAGCAACGUGCCAGGGUAAGGUAAAAUCACUAUCGCACCGCAGGAAGUCGAAGGAUACAAUGUAUGUUCAAUGCACUGGAAAUAAUGGGAUUUCAACCUUUCGGCGAGUAAUGCAAUUUGAGCUGAAAUAAAUAUUCAUGAAAUACA